CCUACGGGGUGCUGCAGUAGGGAAUAUUGCUCAAUGGGGGAAACCCUGAAGCAGCAACGCCGCGUGGAGGAUGAAGGUUUUCGGAUUGUAAACUCCUUUUGUUAGAGAAGAUAAUGACGGUAUCUAACGAAUAAGCACCGGCCAACUCCGUGCCAGCAGCCGCGGUAAUACGGAGGGUGCAAGCGUUACUCGGAAUCACUGGGCGUAAAGAGCGCGUAGGCGGGAUAGCAAGUCAGAUGUGAAAUCCUAGGGCUUAACCAUAGAACUGCAUUUGAGACUGUUAUUCUAGAGUAUGGGAGAGGGAGGUGGAAUUCUUGGUGUAGGGGUAAAAUCCGUAGAGAUCAAGAGGAAUACUCAUUGCGAAGGCGACCUGCUAGAACAUAACUGACGCUGAGGCGCGAAAGCGUGGGGAGCAAACAGGACUAGAUACCCGGGUAGUC
Molecule: ribosomal RNA, 440 nt
Filed under: uncultured bacterium
Lineage: Bacteria
Description: partial 16S ribosomal RNA
Rfam family: Bacterial small subunit ribosomal RNA
Source: RNAcentral